CACUUGCAGUCCUGCAUUGUUGUCCAUGCGAGGCAAUUCGUUUGGAUCGAAUCAGGAUUGCAUAAACUAGAUGAAAGAAGCUAAGGCGUGACUACUUGAGUUACUGUAGUUUCACGUGCGAUGUUCUUUUGACAGUAACCUUUACGGCCUGUUUCCACGGCGGUGGCGGACUGUCGUGUACCGUGACCUAUCGAAAAACAGGCAGAUUAAAGUUUUGAGCAGCAAGAUAUUGCUUUUGGUAGCAAGAUUAACCAAACGCACUUGAAGCUGCCACAUAC
Molecule: non-coding RNA, 278 nt
Organism: Anguilla rostrata (American eel)
Lineage: Eukaryota; Metazoa; Chordata; Actinopteri; Anguilliformes; Anguillidae
Source: RefSeq, a predicted model, not a curated record